ACUGCCUCGCGUUUUACUGAUGACACAAGUUAAAGAGAGUUGUUUGGGGCAAAGCUGAACCCCCAACCGAAAGACUGGAACAACAAAUCCCGUCCAGCCAGAAAUAUGAAAUACUUAGUGAUCAGUUGUGACCUUUUCUAUUUACUGCUCUUCAUAUAUUAACUACAGUUUAAGAUCCGUAACACAUUUAUCUUUACUACAGAUAAAGAUAGUAAAUAUAUCUUUACUAUCAGUUUAAGGAAGUACUGGUAAUUGUGGUAAUUGUGUUUUCUGCGUUAUUUCAACCUUACACACCCAGUUUGAAAACUGUACAACAAAGCUUGUGAAAGCUUCAUUAAAUUCGUGAAAACUCAAAAAAGAACCACUUAUUCAGGACCUUAGAUGUGAUCUGUCUAGGAUGAAACUAUAUAUUACCCUGAAAACUUAAAAAUGGACUGAAUUAUUCUACAUUAGUCACAGAAUAUAUAAGAUACAGUUUGACUUCUUCAGUUUUCUCAAACUCAAUACAUUCUAUAUAGUUUCAUACUGAACAGUUGCAUAAAACGCAGUUUGGGAUUUGUGAAAACUUCAAACAGGAUAUGAAACUCAUGACAGUUUUUAGGGUAUUUUUAGAUUGACAUCACCUGACCUGAAAGCAGGUUUAUUUGGACCUGCUUUCAGAUGCGUAUCCAAACAGAAAUGGAAACAUAUUAGAAUCUUUCCUUUACUUGACAUUAUUUGAUAAAGUCAGUGUCUAUUUAACUUCCUGUAAUGUUUCACUUUGUAACAAGGCUGUUAAGAGGCUUGUUACUGUUUUCAAUUUGUCAAAUGUUGCAUUACUGAUGGCAUGCAGGCCCGGCGGCAUGGGUGAGCAUUGGGGGCCAUUGCCCGCCCACAGAGUCAGCCGUGUCCCCCCCUGGACUGGAAGCUGUUUGUUGUUUUUACCUUAAAGUGGCCAACUCUCUGUUGUUCAUAUAUUGAUUUGAUACAGUAGCGGCUUCCGCACUUGCCAUAUCUGUGCCUUUUGUCACUUUUUUCAGCAGUUAAAACCGUUUAAUCCGUUGUUAACACGUCGUAACCUGCUUUUCCGAGCCGCCUUUAAACGCAACAUGAGGACUGGGUUACACCUGUGCGGCAGCGAAGGAGACCUGCUGCUGUGCAGAGCUACUCAGGUAGAAUCAUGGCAGCAAACCAGCAAAACGAAAAUAACUUUGCACAGUUUUUCUCCUCAGACUAACCGAGUGAGUUGAGUAAUGCUGUUGGAUCCAGGUUAUGUUAGUAAAAGAUGACUAGUUAAUAACAAUACAGGACUUUAAGCUUGUUAACAAGCAGCCUAUAGGCUACUGAUGUUGUCUAUGUUCAAAAGUGUGUAGUACUUGUUACCUUCACUUGAGUAACUUUUUUGGGAAAAAUGUAUUUAUAAGAGUAGUUUUACUGCACUGCAUCUUUUUCUUUACUUGAGUUAUAUUAUUAUUGCUACAUAGAAUAAUUUUGCCCCCCUGUAAAACUCGUCUGGAGCCGGGCUGGCAGCACGUUGCUCAGUUGUUUCUUUAACUGGAUACUUGCUGCAUUGUGCCUGCAGGUUUUUUGUAUGUUUUUGUAAAAAAAAAAAACAUCAUACAACCAGUAUGCAUUUAUUUAGCAUUUAUAGCUAAAUUGAAAAGUUACCAGCCAACCCUGGUGAUCUGUAUUGUUGUGGGCACUCAAAUGCGAUAAUUUACGUUUUAGAAUCAAUUCUCAAAAAGGUUGAUUUCUAAUUCAAGCUACUAAAGCAUUACUUCUAUCAAUUAGUCUAAAUUAAUCUUUCUUAAAUUAGAGCCAAUUUGCUUCACCAACAAAACACAGCAGUGGAGUCAUCUAAAUUACUAGUUUUAUUAAUAAUUGCCCUAGGCAAUACAUAGUUAUUUACAGCCAAGCUAGACUCUGUCAUUGACUGCCAAUCCUCUGCUCACCAUGUCGUUUGUUGCUUCACCUGUAGUCACUCAUAAGAUUCCCUAAAAUUAGUUGAGCAUUGGUUGAGUGUGGGAUCUAGAACUUUAUCUGUUAUGUCAAAACCUGCCUUCCGUUAUUGUAUUCAUUAAAAUUCAAAUUCAAAAAUAGUUUAUUAAUCCCAAGGAGACAUUAAAUGUUGUAACUCCUUAAUUUAGAUUCUUCAAAGAUUUAUUGAAGAUCGUGAUGGAUGUUGGCAGGGAAGAUCUCUUGUAGCAGACUGUAUUACAGCGGAUCUGAAGAAGCCUCUGACUGAAGAUGCUCUGCCUUCCCAACACAGUCUGGUGGAUAGGAUGCUCAGGGUUGCCCAUAAUUUUCUUCAUUUUAUGAAGAAUCAUCUCCAGAGGUUCCACAGUCAUCCCCAGAACAGAACCAGAACAAAACCAGGCUUCUUUAUCAGACUGUUGAGCCUUUUUAUGUCCCUGGCUCUGGUGCUGCUGCCCCAAUAGAUGACAGUAGAAGAGAUGACGCUCUCACCAACAGUCUUAUAGAAGAUCUGCAGCAUCUUGGUGCAAACCUUGAAGGAUCUUAGCGUCCUCCUGCUGUCUCUUCUUAUAGGCGCUUCACUGGUGCAUCUCCAGUCCAGUCUGUUGUCCAGAUGAAAACCAAGGUAUUUAUAUUCCUCAACCACCUAAACCUUCUUCUCCCAUGAUGGAAAUUGGGUUUGAUCUAAUCCCGUUCCUCCUGAAAUCAACAGUCAUCUCCUUUGUAGUUAUCAUGUUACACACCCAGCACUUCCGAUGCAAAACCCUGAUUUUCUCCAAAACUUUGUGUGUAAAGAGGAAGAGGUUCUCAAUGAGCUCAGCAACCAGGAAGAGAACUCCACUUUACAUCAAGAAGAUCCAGAACCUCUGCGGAUAAAACAGGAA
This is a long non-coding RNA of Xiphophorus hellerii (green swordtail), 2837 nucleotides long. RefSeq lists it as uncharacterized. The transcript has 2 exons. Lineage: Eukaryota; Metazoa; Chordata; Actinopteri; Cyprinodontiformes; Poeciliidae. The record is from RefSeq and is a predicted model, not a curated record.